Molecule: ribosomal RNA, 253 nt
Filed under: uncultured bacterium
Lineage: Bacteria
Description: partial 16S ribosomal RNA
Rfam family: Bacterial small subunit ribosomal RNA
Source: RNAcentral
GACGAAGGGGGCUAGCGUUGUUCGGAAUUACUGGGCGUAAAGGGCGCGUAGGCGGCUCUUUAAGUCAGGCGUGAAAGCCCUGGGCUCAACCUGGGAGUGGCGCUUGAUACUGGAGGGCUAGAGAGCGGGAGAGGUUGGUGGAAUUCCCAGUGUAGAGGUGAAAUUCGUAGAUAUUGGGAAGAACACCGGUGGCGAAGGCGGCCAACUGGACCGUAUCUGACGCUGAGGCGCGAAAGCGUGGGGAUCAAACAGG